This 728-nucleotide long non-coding RNA is filed under the name Rattus norvegicus (Norway rat). RNAcentral's name for it is "long non-coding RNA NONRATT017052". The record is from RNAcentral. Lineage: Eukaryota; Metazoa; Chordata; Mammalia; Rodentia; Muridae.
GAAGGAGGGCAAAAGAGUCAGGAACUGAAAAAGUGAGGAGAAAAGCCGGGUGCCAAGUUGGGGGUGGGGAUAAUGGGAGAGGAAGAGUCGAGAUUCCGGGCAGAGGCAGAGCCAGAUUGGGGUUUGUGGGCACCAGACGGUCCCUGAGAUAUGAAAAGGGGAGGUAAGGAAAAGCAGGAGAGCGAGGAGCCGGAGGAGCCGGGGCCGAGAAGUGAGAGGGUUCAGUCGAGACUGCUUCCCCGGUACCCAGGGGAGAUAAAUGGGAAGAGAGAAGCAGCAGGCGAGGGGCGAAGAGGUCGGACGAGAUGUGAGGAGGUGAGGCUAGAUGAGGAGGACAGAGGUCCAGGGGAGAAGGGGAGACGGGGAAACGGGCAAGGGCGCCGGCGCCUCUGCGCGCGGGGCCUCGGCAGGUCCCGGCUGCCUUCCCAGCGGCGCUCGGCCCCGCCCCUCAGCCCGGCCCCUACCCCACUUGCCUAUCCCGCCCCCGAGGCGGGUCAGGGGAAAUACCCUCCUCGGGGACUUUUGGUACCCGAGCAAGUGUGGCAGCCUAUGCAUUCCCAGAACCCUGGCGUCCACCCGCGUCCAGUCCCUACAAUCUCGCCGGCCUCUCCACCAGAUGCGCCCCCAGAACACGGGCGCGACGAGGACCCGCAUCGCGCCUCUGAUGUCCCCCAACCAGGGACCCGGCUCUCAGGGGACCUUGACCCAGUGGGACGUGCACCCGAGAG